Molecule: non-coding RNA, 46 nt
Filed under: Schistosoma mansoni
Lineage: Eukaryota; Metazoa; Platyhelminthes; Trematoda; Strigeidida; Schistosomatidae
Source: RNAcentral
GCACUGCCGAUGAGUCCCAUAAUAGGACGAAACGGCCGUCCAGUGU